AGCGAACGCUGGCGGCAGGCCUAACACAUGCAAGUCGAGCGCCCAGCAAUGGGAGCGGCAGACGGGAUAGUAACACGUGGGAACGUACCCUUCAGUUCGGAACAACCCAGGGAAACUUGGGCUAAUACCGAAUACGUCCGUAAGGAGAAAGAUUUAUCGCUGAAGGAUCGGCCCGCGUCUGAUUAGCUAGUUGGUGAGGUAAUGGCUCACCAAGGCGACGAUCGGUAGCCGGCCNGAGAGGGUGAUCGGCCACACUGGAACUGAGACACGGUCCAGACUCCUACGGGAGGCAGCAGUGGGGAAUUUUGCGCAAUGGGCUAACGCCUGACGCAGCAACGCCGCGUGGAGGAUGAAGGGUCCUUGGAUUGUAAACCUCUUUCAGCUCCGACGAAGCGAAAGUGACGGUAGGAGCAGAAGAAGCACCGGCCAACUACGUGCCAGCAGCCGCCGUAA
RNAcentral lists this ribosomal RNA (453 nucleotides) under uncultured bacterium. Its description in RNAcentral is "bacterial SSU rRNA". It matches the Rfam family "Bacterial small subunit ribosomal RNA", at positions 29 to 523 of the family's 1533-position model. The record is from RNAcentral.